RNAcentral lists this ribosomal RNA (251 nucleotides) under uncultured prokaryote. Its description in RNAcentral is "partial 16S rRNA". It matches the Rfam family "Bacterial small subunit ribosomal RNA", at positions 525 to 775 of the family's 1533-position model. The record is from RNAcentral.
ACGGAGGGUGCGAGCGUUGUUCGGAAUUAUUGGGCGUAAAGCGCGGGUAGGCGGUCCUUUAAGUCUGAUGUGAAAGAUCUGGGCUCAACCCAGGUCGUGCAUUGGAAACUGGGAGACUUGAAUAUAGGAGAGGGUAUUGGAAUUCCUAGUGUAGCAGUGAAAUCCGUAGAUAUUAGGAGGAACGCCAAUGGCGAAGGCAGCUAACGGGACUAUUAUUGACGCUGAGACGCGAAAGCGUGGGGAUCAAACAG